GACGAACGCUGGCGGCGUGCUUAACACAUGCAAGUCGAACGGAAAGGCCCUGCUCUUGCGCGUUGCUCGUGAGGCGCACGGGUGUGUAACACGCGUGUAUCCUGUCCUUUACAUUGGGAUAACUCUAGGAAAAUGGGGCUCUAAUCGCACAGGAGCUUCUGCUGCACGGUGGGGGUUGGAGAGUUUCGGCGGUUGGGGAUGGAAGCGCGGUUUAUCAGCUUGUUGGUGGGGUAGUGGCUUACCAAGGCUUGGACGGGUAGCCGGCCUGGGAGGGUGACCGGCCACAGUGGGACUGAGGUACGACCCAGACGGCUACGGGGGGCAGCAGGGGGGAAUAUUGCGCGAUGGGCGGAAGCCGGAUGGAGCAACGCCGCGUGCGGGAUGUCGGCCGUCGGGUUGGAAACCGUGUGAGCCUGUGACGAAGCGUGAGUGACGGUAAUGGGUAAAGAAGCACCGGCUAACUACGUG
RNAcentral lists this ribosomal RNA (468 nucleotides) under uncultured bacterium. RNAcentral's name for it is "partial 16S ribosomal RNA". It matches the Rfam family "Bacterial small subunit ribosomal RNA", at positions 28 to 507 of the family's 1533-position model. The record is from RNAcentral.